This 585-nucleotide ribosomal RNA is filed under the name uncultured bacterium. RNAcentral's name for it is "partial 16S ribosomal RNA". It matches the Rfam family "Bacterial small subunit ribosomal RNA", at positions 355 to 1375 of the family's 1533-position model. The record is from RNAcentral.
UGGGGAAUUUUGGACAAUGGGCGAAAGCCUGAUCCAGCAAUGCCGCGUGUGUGAAGAAGGCCUUCGGGUUGUAAAGCACUUUUGCCCGGAAAGAAAUCCUUGGCUCUAAUACAGUCGGGGGAUGACGGUACCGGAAGAAUAAGCACCGGCUAACUACGUGCCAGCAGCCGCGGUAAUACGUAGGGUGCAAGCGUUAAUCGGAAUUACUGGGCGUAAAGCGUGCGCAGGCGGUUUGCUAAGACCGAUGUGAAAUCCCCGGGCUCAACCUGGGAACUGCAUUGGUGACUGGCAGGCUAGAGUAUGGCAGAGGGGGGUAGAAUUCCACGUGUAGCAGUGAAAUGCGUAGAGAUGUGGAGGAAUACCGAUGGCGAAGGCAGCCCCCUGGGCCAAUACUGACGCUCAUGCACGAAAGCGUGGGGAGCAAACAGGAUUAGAUACCCUGGUAGUCCACGCCCUAAACGAUGUCAACUAGUUGUUGGGGAUUCAUUUCCUUAGUAACGUAGCUAACGCGUGAAGUUGACCGCCUGGGGAGUACGGUCGCAAGAUUAAAACUCAAAGGAAUUGACGGGGUCAUAGCUGUUUCCU